This 468-nucleotide ribosomal RNA is filed under the name uncultured bacterium. RNAcentral's name for it is "partial 16S ribosomal RNA". It matches the Rfam family "Bacterial small subunit ribosomal RNA", at positions 28 to 507 of the family's 1533-position model. The record is from RNAcentral.
GACGAACGCUGGCGGCGUGCUUAACACAUGCAAGUCGAACGGAAAGGCCCUGCUUUUGUGGGGUUCUCGAGUGGCGAACGGGUGAGUAACACGUGAGUAACCUGCCCUUGACUUUGGGAUAACUUCAGGAAACUGGGGCUAAUACCGGAUAGGAGCUCCUGCUGCAUGGGGGGGGUUGGAAAGUUUCGGCGGUUGGGGAUGGACUCGCGGCUUAUCAGCUUGUUGGUGGGGUAGUGGCUUACCAAGGCUUUGACGGGUAGCCGGCCUGAGAGGGUGACCGGCCACAUUGGGACUGAGAUACGGACCAGACUCCUACGGGAGGCAGCAGUGGGGAAUAUUGCACAAUGGGCGGAAGCCUGAUGCAGAAACGCCGCGUGCGGGAUGACGGCCUUCGGGUUGUAAACCGCUUUCGCCUGUGACGAAGCGUGAGUGACGGUAAUGGGUAAAGAAGCACCGGCUAACUACGUG